UGGGCUGGUUUUGUAGAUACUUACGAGAAAUGGUUGGGUCCUCUUCCCAGCAAGAUUCAUCUGGGGAAGGUGGGCAGUUAUAUUUCAUUUGAACCAUUGAAAUUUUCAACAAUCAUCUUGCCCACAUCA
Molecule: small nucleolar RNA, 129 nt
Organism: Juglans regia (Persian walnut)
Lineage: Eukaryota; Viridiplantae; Streptophyta; Magnoliopsida; Fagales; Juglandaceae
Product: small nucleolar RNA snoR135
Exons: 1
Source: RefSeq, a predicted model, not a curated record